GACGAACGCUGGCGGCGUGCUUAACACAUGCAAGUCGAACGGAAAGGUCCUGCUUUUGUGGGGUGCUCGAGUGGCGAACGGGUGAGUAACACGUGAGUAACCUGCCCUUGACUUUGGGAUAACUUCAGGAAACUGGGGCUAAUACCGGAUAGGAGCUCCUGCUGCAUGGUGGGGGUUGGAAAGUUUCGGCGGUUGGGGAUGGAAUCGCGGCUUAUCAGCUUGUUGGUGGGGUAGUGGCUUACCAAGGCUUUGACGGGUAGCCGGCAUGAGAGGGUGACCGGGCACAAUGGGACUGAGGUACGGCCCAGACUCCUACGGGAGGCAGCAGUGGGGAAUAUUGCACAAUGGGCGGAAGCCUGAGGCAGCAACGCCGCGUGCGGGAUGACGGCCUUCGGGUGGUAAACCGCUGUCGCCUGUGACGAAGCGGUAGUGACGGUAAUGGGUAAAGAAGCACCGGCUAACUACGUG
RNAcentral lists this ribosomal RNA (468 nucleotides) under uncultured bacterium. RNAcentral describes it as "partial 16S ribosomal RNA". It matches the Rfam family "Bacterial small subunit ribosomal RNA", at positions 28 to 507 of the family's 1533-position model. The record is from RNAcentral.